AUGAGCUCCUCGGACGACACCUGCGGCAAGAAGGCGUCGUGGCCGGAGCUGGUUGGGAAGUCCAUCGAGGAGGCCAAGAAGAUCAUCAUGAAGGACAGGCCGGAUGUGAAGAUCAUCGAGGUCUUCCCGGUCGGCACCGCCGUGACCGGGGACUUCAGGCCCGACCGUGUCCGCAUCUUCGUCGACACCGUUGCGGAGAUCCCCCGCAUUGGCUAG
RNAcentral lists this ribosomal RNA (216 nucleotides) under Triticum aestivum (bread wheat). Its description in RNAcentral is "partial small subunit ribosomal RNA". The record is from RNAcentral. Lineage: Eukaryota; Viridiplantae; Streptophyta; Magnoliopsida; Poales; Poaceae.